UACGUAGGGAGCGAGCGUUGUCCGGAAUUACUGGGCGUAAAGGGCGCGUAGGCGGGAUUUUAAGUCAGGUGUGAAAACUCCGGGCUCAACUUGGAGACGGCACUUGAGACUGGGAUUCUUGAGGACAGGAGAGGAAAGUGGAAUUCCUAGUGUAGCGGUGAAAUGCGUAGAUAUUAGGAGGAACACCAGUGGCGAAGGCGACUUUCUGGACUGUAACUGACGCUGAGGCGCGAAAGCGUGGGGAGUGAACGGGAUUAGAUACCCCCGUAGUCC
RNAcentral lists this ribosomal RNA (273 nucleotides) under uncultured bacterium. Its description in RNAcentral is "partial 16S ribosomal RNA". It matches the Rfam family "Bacterial small subunit ribosomal RNA", at positions 524 to 796 of the family's 1533-position model. The record is from RNAcentral.